CACAUUCAAUACAUUUCUAACGGGCCCGUC
This 30-nucleotide non-coding RNA is filed under the name Mus musculus (house mouse). The record is from RNAcentral. Lineage: Eukaryota; Metazoa; Chordata; Mammalia; Rodentia; Muridae.